This 429-nucleotide ribosomal RNA is filed under the name uncultured Alteromonadales bacterium. Its description in RNAcentral is "bacterial SSU rRNA". It matches the Rfam family "Bacterial small subunit ribosomal RNA", at positions 355 to 776 of the family's 1533-position model. Lineage: Bacteria; Pseudomonadati; Pseudomonadota; Gammaproteobacteria; Alteromonadales. The record is from RNAcentral.
UGGGGAAUAUUGGACAAUGGGGGCAACCCUGAUCCAGCCAUGCCGCGUGUGUGAAGAAGGCCUUAGGGUUGUAAAGCACUUUCAGUGGGGAGGAAAGGUUGUAGGUUAAUACCCUGCAGCUGUGACGUUACCCACAGAAGAAGCACCGGCUAACUUCGUGCCAGCAGCCGCGGUAAUACGAGGGGUGCAAGCGUUAAUCGGAUUUACUGGGCGUAAAGCGCGCGUAGGCGGCUUGUUAAGUCGGAUGUGAAAGCCCUGGGCUCAACCUAGGAACUGCAUUCGAUACUGGCGAGCUAGAGUACGAUAGAGGGUGGUAGAAUUCCUAGUGUAGCGGUGAAAUGCGUAGAUAUUAGGAGGAAUACCAGUGGCGAAGGCGGCCACCUGGAUCGAUACUGACGCUGAAGUGCGAAAGCGUGGGGAGCAAACAGG